AACGAACGCUGGCGGCAUGCCUAACACAUGCAAGUCGAACGAGAUCUUCGGGUCUAGUGGCGCACGGGUGCGUAACGCGUGGGAAUCUGCCCUUCGGUUGGGAAUAACUGAGAGAAAUUUCAGCUAAUACCUUAUAAUGUCUUCGGACCAAAGAUUUAUCGCCGAGGGAUGAGCCCGCGUAGGAUUAGGUAGUUGGUGGGGUAAUGGCCUACCAAGCCGACGAUCCUUAGCUGGUCUGAGAGGAUGAUCAGCCACACUGGGACUGAGACACGGCCCAGACUCCUACGGGAGGCAGCAGUGGGGAAUAUUGGACAAUGGGCGAAAGCCUGAUCCAGCAAUGCCGCGUGAGUGAUGAAGGCCUUAGGGUUGUAAAGCUCUUUUACCCGGGAUGAUAAUGACAGUACCGGGAGAAUAAGCUCCGGCUAACUCCGUG
Molecule: ribosomal RNA, 433 nt
Filed under: uncultured bacterium
Lineage: Bacteria
Description: partial 16S ribosomal RNA
Rfam family: Bacterial small subunit ribosomal RNA
Source: RNAcentral